GGUUGAGUAGCGAAGUGGCUAAACGCCUCUGACUGUAAAUCAGAUCUCCCAUUGGAGUUCGAAGGUUCGAUUCCUUCCUCAACCACCA
RNAcentral lists this transfer RNA (88 nucleotides) under Vibrio parahaemolyticus. RNAcentral's name for it is "tRNA-Tyr". It matches the Rfam family "tRNA". Rfam says of the family: Transfer RNA (tRNA) molecules are approximately 80 nucleotides in length. RNAcentral also lists the same sequence under 1 other name. The record is from RNAcentral. Lineage: Bacteria; Pseudomonadati; Pseudomonadota; Gammaproteobacteria; Vibrionales; Vibrionaceae.